This 497-nucleotide ribosomal RNA is filed under the name uncultured bacterium. RNAcentral describes it as "partial 16S ribosomal RNA". It matches the Rfam family "Bacterial small subunit ribosomal RNA", at positions 28 to 507 of the family's 1533-position model. The record is from RNAcentral.
GACGAACGCUGGCGGCGUGCCUAAUACAUGCCAGUUGAGCGAUGAAGAUUGGUGCUUGCACCAAUUUGAAGAGCAGCGAACGGGUGAGUAACGCGUGGGGAAUCUGCCUUUGAGCGGGGGACAACAUUUGGAAACGAAUGCUAAUACCGCAUAAUAACUUUAAACAUAAGUUUUAAGUUUGAAAGAUGCAAUUGCAUCACUCAAAGAUGAUCCCGCGUUGUAUUAGCUAGUUGGUGAGGUAAAGGCUCACCAAGGCGAUGAUACAUAGCCGACCUGAGAGGGUGAUCGGCCACAUUGGGACUGAGACACGGCCCAAACUCCUACGGGAGGCAGCAGUAGGGAAUCUUCGGCAAUGGACGAAAGUCUGACCGAGCAACGCCGCGUGAGUGAAGAAGGUUGUCGGAUCGUAAAACUCUGUUGGUAGAGAAGAACGUUGGUGAGAGUGGAAAGCUCAUCAAGUGACGGUAACUACCCAGAAAGGGACGGCUAACUACGUG